This 253-nucleotide ribosomal RNA is filed under the name uncultured bacterium. RNAcentral's name for it is "partial 16S ribosomal RNA". It matches the Rfam family "Bacterial small subunit ribosomal RNA", at positions 524 to 776 of the family's 1533-position model. The record is from RNAcentral.
UACGUAGGGGGCAAGCGUUGUCCGGAUUUACUGGGCGUAAAGGGCUCGUAGGCGGCCAACUAAGUCAUACGUGAAAUCCCUCGGCUUAACCGGGGAACUGCGUCUGAUACUGGAUGGCUUGAGUUCGGGAGAGGGAUGCGGAAUUCCAGGUGUAGCGGUGAAAUGCGUAGAUAUCUGGAGGAACACCGGUGGCGAAGGCGGCAUCCUGGACCGAUACUGACGCUGAGGAGCGAAAGCCAGGGGAGCAAACGGG